Molecule: ribosomal RNA, 262 nt
Filed under: uncultured bacterium
Lineage: Bacteria
Description: partial 16S ribosomal RNA
Rfam family: Bacterial small subunit ribosomal RNA
Source: RNAcentral
CUUGCCUACGGGACGCAGCAGUGGGGAAUAUUGGGCAAUGGGCGCAAGCCUGACCCAGCAACGCCGCGUGAAGGAAGAAGGCUUUCGGGUUGUAAACUUCUUUUCUCAGGGACGAAGCAAGUGACGGUACCUGAGGAAUAAGCCACAGCUAGCUCCGUGCCAGCAGCCGCGGUAAUACGUAGGUGGCAAGCGUUAUCCGGAUUUACUGGGUGUAAAGGGCGUGUGGGCGGGAACGCAGGUCAGAUGUGAAAACCAUGGGCUC